UCUAGAUUAGAGUUUGAUCCUGGCUCAGGACGAACGCUGGCGGCAUGCCUAAUACAUGCAAGUCGAGCGGAUCUUGUUAGUAGCUUGCUACUAACUUGGUUAGCGGCGGACGGGUGAGUAACACGUAGGCAACCUGCCCUUAAGAUCGGGAUAACAUUCGGAAACGAAUGCUAAGACCGGAUAAACAAUUUGGCUGCAUGGCUAAAUUGGGAAACGCGGAGCAAUCUGCGGCUUAGGGAUGGGCCUGCGGCGCAUUAGCUAGUUGGUGGGGUAAAGGCUCACCAAGGCGACGAUGCGUAGCCGACCUGAGAGGGUGAACGGCCACACUGGGACUGAGACACGGCCCAGACUCCUACGGGAGGCAGCAGUAGGGAAUCUUCCACAAUGGGCGAAAGCCUGAUGGAGCAAUGCCGCGUGAGUGAGGAAGGUUUUCGGGUCGUAAAGCUCUGUUGCCAGGGAAGAAUAAGGAUGAGAGUAACUGCUCAUUCGAUGACGGUACCUGAGAAGAAAGCCCCGGCUAACUACGUGCCAGCAGCCGCGGUAAUACGUAGGGGGCAAGCGUUGUCCGGAAUUAUUGGGCGUAAAGCGCGCGCAGGCGGUUCUUUAAGUCUGGUGUCUAAGUGCGGGGCUCAACCCCGUGAUGCACUGGAAACUGGGGAACUUGAGUGCAGAAGAGGAAAGCGGAAUUCCGCGUGUAGCGGUGAAAUGCGUAGAGAUGUGGAGGAACACCAGUGGCGAAAGCGGCUUUCUGGACUGUAACUGACGCUGAGGCGCGAAAGCGUGGGGAACAAACAGGAUUAGAUACCCUGGUAGUCCACGCUGUAAACGAUGAGUGCUAGUGUUGGGGGUAUCAUGCCCUCGGUGCCGAAGUUAACACAUUAAGCACUCCGCCUGGGGAGUACGGUCGCAAGACUGAAACUCAAAGGAAUUGA
RNAcentral lists this ribosomal RNA (932 nucleotides) under uncultured Cohnella sp. RNAcentral's name for it is "bacterial SSU rRNA". It matches the Rfam family "Bacterial small subunit ribosomal RNA", at positions 1 to 913 of the family's 1533-position model. The record is from RNAcentral. Lineage: Bacteria; Bacillati; Bacillota; Bacilli; Caryophanales; Paenibacillaceae.